AAUAGCCUAACGGCUGAACCAGCAACUUGGAGGAAUGUACAGCAAUAGCUAGUUGUAUUAUAUAAUGCAAUAUCAAUAAUCUUGAAUAAAAUUCUGGAUAUAAUUUAAUAAUGAUAUUUUUUAUCCAUAUGUCUUGACCAAAUUACGUGCCAGCAGUCGCGGUAACACGUUGAAGACUAGUGUUAUUCAUCUUUAAUAGGUUUAAAGAGUACUUAGACAGCAAACAAAGCUUUAGUAAGAACUAGUUUGCUAGAGUUACUUGUGAGGAGGCAUAAAAGUACUAUUGGUUUAGAGAUAAAAUUCUUUGAGACCACUUUUCGAAAGAAAAAAAAUGGCACAGGUAAAGACGAAGGUGUCUUCUUAUGUGAUAACUGACGUUGAAGGACGAAGGCUUUGAAUAGCGAAUAGGAUUAGAUACCCUAGUAGUCGAAGCAGAGAAUGAUGAGUGCCAUAAACUAGAUGAAAACUUAGUUUAUAAAUGAAAGUGUAAGCAUUCCACCUUAAGAGUAAAGUGGCAACGCUAAAAUUGAAAUCAUUAGACCGUUUCUGAANNNNNNNNNNNNNNNNNNNNNNUAAUUUGAUAAUCCACAAAAACCUUACCACAACUUGAAUAUUUAAAUUUACAAGCGUUGCACGGCUGUCUUCGGUUAAUGUCGUGAGAUUUGGUUAGAUCCAUUAAAUUAACGCAAGCCUUUGCUUUAUUUUAUAUAAUGCAUCUCGUCCAUCAUAACGGAUAUGAUAAUAUGGACUAAGACAAGUCAUCAUGACCUAAAUGUUGU
This 779-nucleotide ribosomal RNA is filed under the name Ramalinaceae sp. RNAcentral's name for it is "partial small subunit ribosomal RNA". It matches the Rfam family "Bacterial small subunit ribosomal RNA", at positions 370 to 1210 of the family's 1533-position model. Lineage: Eukaryota; Fungi; Ascomycota; Lecanoromycetes; Lecanorales; Ramalinaceae. The record is from RNAcentral.